AUUAAAAAGGAGAAGAAAAACAAAGGAAAAAGAGUUAGCCACACAGUAAUGACCUGAAGUCAGAUCUCUGGUUCCUAAGCUCUCAUCAUGGUGCCCAGGCACUAGCUGGCUAGCCCCAUACUACUCAGUCACUCUUAAUAUCUAUGUGCGUCUUUCUGGGAUAUGUGAUGGAAUCAGACAAUACAGUAUUUAGCGCAAGCUGUAGUUCUGGAAGUGUUGUGAGGAUUCAUCAGUUAAUGUUGUACAUCAUAUGUACAUUAACUUGUAAUCGCAAGUACAUGUUGUAAAAAUCCUAAAACUGUAACAGACUUGAGCUGCUUCUAACUCUUGUUAGCUCAGAAUAUCUUUUUUUAAUAGCACAGGGAAAAUUACAGGAAAAGUUAGAAAGACUGUGAGAAAUAAAUGUUUUCCCACAUGUUUUAGGACAGUGAAUGAAGCUGCAUAUUACCCUUUUAAUAUCUGCAUUAAUUUAGCACACAAACUUUCAAAGAGUAGAAGAGGGAUCAGCUUUUGCUUCUUAGGCUGCAGCAAGUGACACCCAUGGUGCUAGGAGGAGGAGAAAUACUUGUCCCAACACAAUGGCAGGAGGAUAAACACCCAUAACAGCAUGUUGUGAGAUCUUAUGGCCUGGUUAAUUUUCCAUACAACAGGCCUACUGUGAAAAGCCCACCUCUAAAACUGCUAAUGAGUAAUCGAUGAUAUCAUGACACAGUAGCUGUUGUGCCAGUAUUUUCACCUUCUGUCAUUUGGAUUUUAAUGACCUUCUUAUGUGCCUGGAUGCAAAGCAACUCAUACCACAAACAAACAAGCUUAACUGUUCCCUUUUAACUUGUAGGAUAAGCCGUUACAGAAACACAUCUCUCCAAGGCAGCUGGCAAAACAGAUGAGGUGAUGUACCUAAUGUCAAAACAAUGAGAAUAAACGCUGAAGAGCUUCUCAGGCCUUUGAAGACCUACAUCUGCCUUCAAAUACAAAACCUCUUCCAGUAGGUCUAAAGGAUCAGCAAUGUGUCCGGAAUUAAAGUAAAGACCAUUGUGGCUGGCUACACUACUGAACUUGCCAGAGUAAUCACAGGAUCCCAGCUCCCCCAGUAGCAGAGGUCAAACAAGCAGAAGCAUCAGUCAGUCACUGGUUUCAAAUCUGGAGAGAGAUGCUUUUCAGCCUGCGAACCACAGACUAGUACACAGGCAGCUGUGAAUUAGUUCUCCAAGGGUUUUUGAAAGGUAUCCAGGAAAAACAAACACAUGGUCUGUGGCUGAAAUUCAUUGCAGAAGGGUUCCACCUUGCACAGAUUUCUCUACAAGUUAAGAAAAAGAGACUUGGAAACUGUGAGUUUCAGACUGAACAAAGAUUUACAUCUAUUUGCUGAAGUAUUAGUUCUCAGAAAACCUGAGCCUUGCAACUUUCUGCACUACAAAUUCAUAAGUGACAGUCAGACAUGACCAGAAUUUCACUUUCUUCAGAGCCCUUGGUAAGCAGAAACAUGGAGACAAUAUCUUAAGUAUAAGCAGGGAAUACUGACGGUAAAGUGUUGUUUCAAAGACUACCAGGAAGAAACAAUGGAAUUUGUAGGCAGUCAAAACAAAAUAAAUAAAUAAAUAAAUAAAUAAAUAAA
Molecule: long non-coding RNA, 1615 nt
Organism: Oxyura jamaicensis (ruddy duck)
Lineage: Eukaryota; Metazoa; Chordata; Aves; Anseriformes; Anatidae
Exons: 4
Source: RefSeq, a predicted model, not a curated record